CUUACAUAUCCUUCCAUGACUUUGUUUUUGUUUUGUGCUUUUGUAACAGUUUUUGUUUUGUUUUUAAUCUGAGAACAAAAAGAAGCCCCAGAAUGAACCAGCCCCAGAAUACCAUUUAUAGCGGGUAACUGUAGUGAGCUCUGUGGGGAAGUGGAGAAUAGACCUGAACUAUUGUUCACAGAAUCACAGAAUUGUAGGGGUUGCAAGGGACCUCGAAAGAUCAUUGGGUCCAACCCCCGAACAACAGAACAGAAUAAUGUGUUACAUCCUUAGCAAACAUGAUUCAUGCAUAUGCUGUCUUCUUUUUGAGUAGAUCCUGUGAGUCAUUGCUGUCCUUUCUGCUAAUGCUAAUGGAUUUUUUCAUGGACAUGGAAGUAUAUAUUAGUUUACAGAUUUCAUCCAGUCAACAAAAGUACGUGGCUCCCUACAUGUAAUGGUCAGACAUGUUCUCCUCUCCAUCUGUGAAAAUAAUUUUGAGACUGAAAACUCUUCCAAGAGAUCCUUUUCUCAUUAAUGGACUGACCUGGUAGACAACUGAGAGUGAUCUUUUACUCCAUUUCCAAGUAAGUAUGGGGUGAGUGCUGACAAAGGGUGAAAUGAAUUUGAACACAUUUCACCCUUGCAUGAGAAUGCAUGAGAAGUAGGGUAGGUGGACAGGUAGUGAGGGGAGAGAGGCAAACCUCUCUGUGCUGUGAUAACUGCAUUAAAAAAGUAAUGUUAUGUACCAUUUUCAUUAUGUGCUCUCUAUUUCUUUUUGCUCAUGCUCAUCUUUGAUUGCAUCUAGUCUGGAGACAGGCAUUGGUUUGCUAACAUCAAGAUUUCAUAUUUUUGCCUUGUGAUCAGAUCCCUCAGGAUUUUUUCCUGUACUCCCCUCCUCUUUCUCCCAAAUUUUGAUAGACAAUUACCAGAAUAUUCUUCUUCAAGGGUAGUGUUGCAUCAGAAUACAAAAAUUCACAUGAAAAUGUUGAUCUCUUUUGCACCAUGCUUCAUACAACUGCACGCUUCAGUAGUGAACCCAAAGUAAUUUCUGAAAACAAAACAAAACAACAACAACAACAAACAAAAACAAAACCACCAUAAUUUACCAUGAGGCAUGACAAGAAAUUCUGUCUCUCAUACUUUGUUUGCAUCUGGAUUUUGAUAGCAGUAUAAUUUGUUGGUAAGUGUAGAACUUUUGUCUUUGAAUCCGUGCCAUGAUACAGUUCCUUAUGUCAGGUUUACACUGAUGAUGUGGACCCUCUUUGUACUGAAUGAUGCUGACAGGAAUAGAUGACCAAACAUUAUACAAGGAUUGAUUUAUGGCUGUCCUAUAAAGACUGCCACGGCCAAUUUUAAGAUGCAUCUUUCUACUUGUAUCAUAUGGAAAAGAGAAUCUGGGGAAAAGAUCAGGGCAAAACAGGUGUGAGUCCUUCUGUGCUUGAACU
Molecule: long non-coding RNA, 1424 nt
Filed under: Anas platyrhynchos platyrhynchos (common mallard)
Lineage: Eukaryota; Metazoa; Chordata; Aves; Anseriformes; Anatidae
Description: lncRNA (ENSAPLG00000028607.1)
Source: RNAcentral